This 1381-nucleotide ribosomal RNA is filed under the name uncultured bacterium. Its description in RNAcentral is "bacterial SSU rRNA". It matches the Rfam family "Bacterial small subunit ribosomal RNA", at positions 18 to 1394 of the family's 1533-position model. The record is from RNAcentral.
CCUGGCUCAGGAUGAACGCUAGCUACAGGCUUAACACAUGCAAGUCGAGGGGCAGCAUGGUCUUAGCUUGCUAAGGCCGAUGGCGACCGGCGCACGGGUGAGCAACACGUAUCCAACCUGCCGUCUACUCUUGGACAGCCUUCUGAAAGGAAGAUUAAUACAAGAUGGCAUCAUGAGUCCGCAUGUUCACAUGAUUAAAGGUAUUCCGGUAGACGAUGGGGAUGCGUUCCAUUAGAUAGUAGGCGGGGUAACGGCCCACCUAGUCUUCGAUGGAUAGGGGUUCUGAGAGGAAGGUCCCCCACAUUGGAACUGAGACACGGUCCAAACUCCUACGGGAGGCAGCAGUGAGGAAUAUUGGUCAAUGGGCGAGAGCCUGAACCAGCCAAGUAGCGUGAAGGAUGACUGCCCUAUGGGUUGUAAACUUCUUUUAUAAAGGAAUAAAGUCGGGUAUGGAUACCCGUUUGCAUGUACUUUAUGAAUAAGGAUCGGCUAACUCCGUGCCAGCAGCCGCGGUAAUACGGAGGAUCCGAGCGUUAUCCGGAUUUAUUGGGUUUAAAGGGAGCGUAGAUGGAUGUUUAAGUCAGUUGUGAAAGUUUGCGGCUCAACCGUAAAAUUGCAGUUGAUACUGGAUAUCUUGAGUGCAGUUGAGGCAGGCGGAAUUCGUGGUGUAGCGGUGAAAUGCUUAGAUAUCACGAAGAACUCCGAUUGCGAAGGCAGCCUGCUAAGCUGCAACUGACAUUGAGGCUCGAAAGUGUGGGUAUCAAACAGGAUUAGAUACCCUGGUAGUCCACACGGUAAACGAUGAAUACUCGCUGUUUGCGAUAUACUGCAAGCGGCCAAGCGAAAGCGUUAAGUAUUCCACCUGGGGAGUACGCCGGCAACGGUGAAACUCAAAGGAAUUGACGGGGGCCCGCACAAGCGGAGGAACAUGUGGUUUAAUUCGAUGAUACGCGAGGAACCUUACCCGGGCUUAAAUUGCAGAUGAAUUACGGUGAAAGCCGUAAGCCGCAAGGCAUCUGUGAAGGUGCUGCAUGGUUGUCGUCAGCUCGUGCCGUGAGGUGUCGGCUUAAGUGCCAUAACGAGCGCAACCCUUGUUGUCAGUUACUAACAGGUUCCGCUGAGGACUCUGACAAGACUGCCAUCGUAAGAUGUGAGGAAGGUGGGGAUGACGCCAAAUCAGCACGGCCCUUACGUCCGGGGCUACACACGUGUUACAAUGGGGGGUACAGAGGGCCGCUACCACGCGAGUGGAUGCCAAUCCCCAAAACCUCUCUCAGUUCGGACUGGAGUCUGCAACCCGACUCCACGAAGCUGGAUUCGCUAGUAAUCGCGCAUCAGCCACGGCGCGGUGAAUACGUUCCCGGGCCUUGUACACACCGCC